CGUUGAAACACGGAUUCUCGUCAGAUCAACAAAGUUAAGCAAAAUAGGGACUGGUCAUUACCUAGAUGGCUGACCGCCUGGGAAUACCAGGUGCUGUAAG
Non-coding RNA from Acanthosepion pharaonis, 100 nucleotides. The record is from the annotation of a GenBank genome assembly. Lineage: Eukaryota; Metazoa; Mollusca; Cephalopoda; Sepiida; Sepiidae.